CUCCUUUGGUUUUAUCGACAAACUCCACAAAUCUCCACCUUGUCGAUUCAACCACCAAAAAACUACGACAUCUGCCUGAGACGAAAUCCUCCGUCGCCUCUCCGUCAUGUCACCGUUCUAGUGGACCUUCUCCGGCGCUGCUCCUUCUCCGACUUCACCGUCGUCCUUGAAGCUCGCCAUCGUCACGAUUCAUGGCUUUAAACAAGCCGAUGAAUCUCACCACCGUCUCUGCAAAUGAAGCACCACGAUUCCAGCUUAACCGCCGUUUCGUCGCUACCGGCGUUCAUCUCCACUGUCGUCUUUACCGACGAUAGCAUCUGCUGUCGCUGAUUUAACCAUCACCGACCCAACAUCUCAACUUUUCACCGGAGCAUGUCAAAACCCAGAAAUCGUCGACUAUUUCUAGAUCCUCUCAUUUCCGAUGAUAGAUUGACGUUAAUUCAUCCUCACCGCUGACUGAUUCCGCUGCUACCUUAACCGAUGCAGCUCAGCUCUGCAAUCCCAGGUAAAUUCCGAAACUCCCAUAGCCAUCUCUUUACCAAAAUGUUAUUUCAGUUUCUGUUGCUGUGAUUUGCAAUUACUUCUGAAAUCUUACUGUCUUCCUUUUCAUCUGCAGCUGCUGAAGACACUUUUGAUUUCAAAAACUAAGCAUCGUGAAUUGCAGGUAAAACCCCAAAUUCCUUUGACGCUUCCAAACUUUCAAAUUUGACCACCUGAAAAUUUUGCCAUUUGAGAAGAUCAACCCGUAAUGAAACACUUCUUCUCUGUUACCCUGAAAUGAUGACUUUUACCAAUCUCAUCUCACAUUUUUCAAACUUUACAAUCUGAAAAAACUUUGUCGAUUUCUUAUGUUACCGAUACUGAAUUUUUUUUUUCAAUAUCUUCUGUCUUUGUGAGAUGCCCAAAUCGACAAGAGCAAUCUCAAGACGCUUUUGGAAACAACUACGGAAUUACAUUGAGAAGCACCAGGAACUUCUCAAACGUGUUUCCAGGUAAGCACUUUGUGAGCAUGUCUGCUGGAUUAGCUGUAGUGUGAACCUUUAGGAUCUUGACUGAACCUUCAUCGACUAUAUCUCUGAUAAAAUGAUAUUUGGUAUCAACAUGCUUUGUUCUGUCAUGGUGCACACUGUUCUUUGCUAAACAUAUAGCACUUUGUGAAUUACAAUUGAGUUUAAAACUGUCCUCUUUAAAACCCAAUUCACCACACAAUCCCUUAAGCCACAGACCUUCCUUAGUAGCCUCAGAUAGAGACAUAUAUUUUGCUUUCGUAGUAGAUAAAGCAACUACUUGUUGUAGACAUGAUCUCCAACUGACCGUAUUGCCACCAACUUUGAAAACAUAGCCUGAAACUGACCUUCUCCUGUCUAAGUCUGUAGCAUAAUCUGAAUCACAAAACCCUUCAAUCUCAAAUUUCUCUGAUUUUGUGAAAGUAAGACAUACUCCUGUAGCUCCUUUUAAAUACCUCAAAAUCCACUUAACCGCAGCCCAAUGAGAUCUUCCUGGAUUCGCCAUGAAUCUGCUAACCAAUCCAAUGGCAAAGGCUAGAUCAGGUCUUGAACCGAUCAUAGCAUACAUCAGACUCCCCACUGCACUUGCAUAGGGAACUGAAUCCAUCAAUCUACUCUCUGUUUUUACCUCCUGCUCUGUUAGACUCUUAAGCUUAAACUGCGAAUUACUUGGAGUUACAACAGCCUUGCAAUCCUCCAUGUUAAAAGUUCUUAAAACCUGCUUAAGAUAUCUUUCCUGUGAUAACUUGAGAGUACCUUUCUUUCUGUCCCUGAUGAUAUCCAUACCAAGAAUUCUAGUCGCUGGUCCUAGAUCCUUCAUCUCGAACUUUUUACUUAAGCUUGCCUUCAAGGCUUUGAUCUUUUCCAUAUUCUUUGCUGCCACAAGCAUGUCAUCGACAUAUAGUAAGAGAUAAACCAUAUCAUCAAUACAUGAUCCCUUAGUGUAAACACAUGGAUCCCUAGCGCUCCUUUGAAACUCCAUUGACUUCAUGAAUUCAUCAAACUUCUGAUUCCAUUGUCUAGGUGACUGUUUCAAACCAUAUAGAGAUUUCUUAAGAAGACAGACCUUGUCUUCGUUUCCCUUCUCUAUAAAACCCUCUGGCUGACUCAUGUAAAUGACUUCAUCAAGUGUACCAUGUAAGAAAGCAGUUUUCACGUCUAGUUGCUCCAAUUCCAGAUCAAAAUUAACCACAACUGACAACAUGAUUCUAAUAGAAACAUGCUUAACCACCGGAGCAAAUAUUUCGUUGUAAUCCACUCCUUCAACCUGUGUAAAUCCCUUAGCUACAAGUCUUGCUUUGUAUCUAGGUUCUUCAACACCUGGAAUGCCCUCCUUGUACUUGAAGAUCCACUUACACCCAACUAUUUUCUGCUUUCUCGGCUUAGAGACAAUCUCAAAAGUUUCAUUUUUAUCCAGAGAUUGUUUUUCCUCUUCCAUAGCCUGCUUCCACUUCUUCCAGUCUUUACUUCGUCUAGCUUCUGCGACUGACCUUGGUUCAUUUAACUCUAUGCUUUCAGCGCUAGUUAAAGCAUAAGCUAAAUAAUCAGCAUCCUCAAACCUCGAUGGUGGUUUGAUAGUUCUUCGCUCUAUGUCUCUUGCCAGCAAAUAAUCAUCAAGAGACUCUUCUUCAUCCUGAUUUUCUUGUUCUUCCUCAGAUUCCUGCUCCUCUUCUGAUUCUGAAUGUUCCGAAGUAGCUCCACCUUGACCAGCAGAAUCUGUAUUUCCUGAAACCUCUCCACCUUGACCAGUGGACUCUUGAACCGAACCAUUUGGAGUAGGUCCUUGGAUCAAUCCAGCUUUGAAAGUAACUUUCUUCUUCUUUGUAGAUUUUGUUACUUCAUUCUGAUCUCGGUCCUUAUACAACUUUUCCUCAUCAAAGACUACAUUCCUGCUGUUAGUACAUUUUCCAUCCUCCAGAAUCCAAACCCUGUAACCUUUAGUACCCUGUGGAUAUCCUAAGAAAAUCCCUUUAACAGCUCUUGGACUCAUCUUGUCUUGUAUUACAUGAACAUAUGCAACACAACCAAAUCGUCUGAGAUGACUGUAAUCAACCUUUGAUCCUGACCAAACCUCUUCAGGAAUCUUGAACUUCAGCGAUGCAUUUGGUGAUCUGUUUAUGAGAUAAACUGCAGUAGAAGCUGCCUCAGCCCAAAAUUUCUUUUCCAUUCCUGUUUCUGCUAACAUACACCUGAUCUUCUCAGCUAUUGUCCGAUUCAUCCUCUCAGAUACUCCAUUUUGCUGUGGAGUAUAAGUGCAAGUUCGAUGUCUUUUAAUCCCUGAAUCCUGACAUAGCUUAUCCAUCUGAUUGUUGCAGAACUCUAAUCCAUUAUCAGUUCGCAGACACUUUAUCUUCUUACUCUUCUGAUUUUCCACUAGUGUUUUCCACUCUGAAAAAUUUUCAAACACUUCGUCCUUACUCCUUAGGAAUCUGAUCCAAACCUUCCUUGAGUAAUCAUCAAUGAAAGUAAGAAAGUAUCUACACCCUGUCAUGCUUGGCUCGUUUGACACUGAGCCCCAAAGAUCACUGUGAAUGUAUUCCAAAAUACACGUAGUAGUGUGUUGGCCAACUGGAAAACUCUGCUUGUGAGACUUACCAAACACACACUUUUCACAGAAAUCUAAAGUGUGGACUUCCUUUGAGUCUAGAUAACCUCCUUUGACCAGAAGAUUCAUGUUCUUAAGACUCAUAUGUCCUAGCCUUGAAUGCCAUCUGUUCGUUAGAUUUACCUCCGUCCUGACCACAGAUGCUUCUCCUCUCACAACUGUUCCCUGCAAAUAGUACAGCCCGUUCUCAUAUUUUCCUGAAAUCACUUUCUGGCCCUUCUUGUAGAAAGUAACUAUGAAGUCCUUCCCUUCAUACUUGCACCCGUUCUUCUCUAGCUGGCCAUAAGAGAUGAGAUUUUUGCUCAUGGUUGGCAUGUAUCUCACAUCAGUUAAUAUCACGGUAGCUCCUUCUGAGUUUAUGAUCUUGAUUUUCCCAAUGCCUUUGACUUCGCUGUGAGUGUUGUUACCCAUCAUCACCUUUCCGCCAUCAACUUCUUUGAAGUCAUACAAGACAUCUCUAUCAGGUGUAAUGUGGAAAGUACACCCAGAAUCCAUGACCCAUUCAUCCAUAGUGUCUUGGACGCUUGCUGUUAAGAUCAUAGGUUCCUCUCUUUCAUGUACUACAUUUGCAAAUCUUGUUUCCCAUACUUUCUUUCAGGGCACUCUUUCUUGUAGUGUCCUUCUUUCCCACAUAUCCAACAUUCUCUAGCUUUUGGUUGAUUCUUUGGUCUAGACUUCGACAUUGAAUCUCUGCUCUUGGAUCUACCUUUACUCUGACCUGUAGUCCUCUUUUCAGACCUCCCUCUACUUGCAACCAAAGCAUCUGCACUUGACUUUGAUUUUCCUAGAAGUCCACUCUCUUUUAGCUCGAUUUCCUUGGCAUAUGCUGAAGCGGUAACUUCAUUCAUAGUAAGUGUCUCUUUCCCGUUGCCGUAUUUGAGAGUAUGAACUAGUGAAUCAAACUGCUUAGGUAAGCUAGACAACACCUGAAUUGCCUGAUCUUCAUCACUUAUAGUUAUACUCAAGCUCUCCAAAUCGUCCACCAGUCUAAGAAACACGUCAAGAUUCUCCUCUAUGCUUUUGUGCUCUUCCAUCUUAAAACUGGCAAAUCUCUGCUUCAGAUAAAUGCGAUUUGGUAAGGUCUUUGUCUGGUAAUCCUUUUCUAGAGCUUUCCACACACCUAGAGCUGUUGUUUGCUUCAUAACCUUCCGCAAGACCAGAUUACUAAGGCUGGAACAUAUCAAGUUCUUUGCCUUUUUGUCUAUCUCCUUCUUCUUUGGAUCAACCGGAGAUGGAGUUGCCUUAGCAUCUGUCUCAUCUUCUUUUCCUUUUCCUUUGUCAGAUGCUGCGAUAGUUUAUUCCUCAUUAAUUGCAGAAUCUAACCCUAGAUUUUCAAGUGCCAUAAGCAUCAAGAAUUUCCACAUACCAAAAUCUCCUUNNNNNNNNNNNNNNNNNNNNNNNNNNNNNNNNNNNNNNNNNNNNNNNNNNNNNNNNNNNNNNNNNNNNNNNNNNNNNNNNNNNNNNNNNNNNNNNNNNNNUAACUUGGACUUUCCCGAAACAACACCAAUCGCAGAUCAGAAACUGAAACCGUAUCCUCCGCUUAAACCUGGUGCUCUGAUACCACUUGUGAGGUUUUAAUAUUGAUUUCAACCUCUAGUCUUAGCUCUUAACCUGAAAUACUUAGAUCAAUUAACCUUGAUACUUAGUUUGUUUGUUGUUUUCAAGCAAGACACAAGAAAAUUUGGUAACCCAGUUCCCUUUCGGUACGUCUGGGGAGAGACGGUACUCUCAACGGUCCACUAUAAUCGAUCAAGUGUUUACAAUAAUGAGUUUGUUACUUCACCGUUAAACUCACGUAUCUCUCUUCUUUCCUUUGUUUCAGGUACCACAAAGAAGAAAGACCAGAAACUAAUUCACCUCAGUUUCAACCACAGAUGCCUUAACCCAGAAGAUGAAGACGAAAGCCUGAAAAAACCCUUAACCGUGUAUCUCUGUUUCUCUUCUCCUUCUCUCGUUAAUUAUCUCUGCUCUCUCUCAAAGUCUGCAACUCCAAAAAAGUUUUAUAUAUAGCUUUGAGUAAUCAUGUGGGCCUUAUACCCUAACCCAACAUCAGUUUCUCUUGCACACUCUUGUAAACACACGUAUGGGCUUGAGCCCAAAAGAAUAGAAGCUUUGACCAGAUAAUGUGGAGUUGACCAUUAUCUUCUCCUUUGGUUUUAUCGACAAACUCCACAGAUGGUUUGAUUAUAGCACGUUGAAACGAAGUUCACAUUAGUGCUUUCUGUUCAAUAUAAUUUGGUGAUUGUAGCUUCAUAGUUAAUUGUUUAAGAUACAAUUUUGUGGAUACCAACG
Molecule: long non-coding RNA, 5904 nt
Filed under: Eutrema salsugineum
Lineage: Eukaryota; Viridiplantae; Streptophyta; Magnoliopsida; Brassicales; Brassicaceae
Description: long non-coding RNA (ESAL_LNC001535)
Source: RNAcentral